AUACGGAGGAUGCAAGCGUUAUCCGGAUUUAUUGGGUUUAAAGGGUGCGUAGGCGGUUUGCUAAGCGGGAGGUGAAAUGCCGGCGCUCAACGUCGGAAGUGCCUCCCGAACUGGUGGACUUGAAUGACUCUGCCGUGGGUGGAAUGUGUAGUGUAGCGGUGAAAUGCAUAGAGAUCACACAGAACACCGAUUGCGAAGGCAUCUCACGAAGGGGUGAUUGACGCUGAGGCACGGAAGCGUGGGGAUCAAACAUGAUUAGAUACCCUGGUAGUCCACGCAGUAAACGAUGAUAACUAACCGCUGGGUCGUAGUGAUUCAGUGGCCAAGCGAAAGCGAUAAGUUAUCCGCCUGGGGAGUACGACCGCAAGGUUGAAACUCAAAUGAAUUGGCGGGG
This 394-nucleotide ribosomal RNA is filed under the name uncultured bacterium. Its description in RNAcentral is "partial 16S ribosomal RNA". It matches the Rfam family "Bacterial small subunit ribosomal RNA", at positions 523 to 918 of the family's 1533-position model. The record is from RNAcentral.